This 279-nucleotide ribosomal RNA is filed under the name uncultured bacterium. RNAcentral's name for it is "partial 16S ribosomal RNA". It matches the Rfam family "Bacterial small subunit ribosomal RNA", at positions 506 to 784 of the family's 1533-position model. The record is from RNAcentral.
UGCCAGCCGCCGCGGUAAUACGAAGGUGGCAAGCGUUGUUCGGAAUCACUGGGCAUAAAGAGCACGUAGGCGGUGAUAUAAGUUGGGAGUGAAAUCCCUCGGCUCAACCGAGGAACUGCUUCCAAAACUGUAUCGCUAGUCGGUCGACGGGGAGAGUGGAAUUCCUGGUGGAGCGGUGAAAUGCAUAGAUAUCAGGAGGAACGCCGGUGGCGAAGGCGACUCUCUAGUCGAUUCGAGACGCUGAGGUGCGAAAGCGUGGGGAGCAAACAGGAUUAGAUA